RNAcentral lists this ribosomal RNA (432 nucleotides) under Triticum aestivum (bread wheat). Its description in RNAcentral is "partial small subunit ribosomal RNA". Lineage: Eukaryota; Viridiplantae; Streptophyta; Magnoliopsida; Poales; Poaceae. The record is from RNAcentral.
AUGCAACGUUAUGGAUACCAUGACCGAUCACCAUCGAGAAAGAAGAAUUUUGAUAAAUCACUUCGGGUGAGCGGGGCCUUCAAGCGGCCUCAAUACGCCGGGGUUGUAAAUGACAUACCUUUCCUUAUGGGAAAUGCCGCCUCCUUACUAAAAAGGAAUAGAAUCAAGUUGUUUUUACCAAAGAAGUCCCGCUCUGACGGCCCGACGAGUCAUCUACUAAAAAGGAGCCUCCCCGCUGUGCGCCCCUCCUUGAAUUAUUCGGUCAUGCAAUACCUUUUUAAUACUAAGAAUAAAAUGCAUUUCGACCCCGUCCUAGUUCUCAAUCAUUUCGUGGCAUCGGGUGUGGCUGAACCAUCUACGAUGGGGGGAGCGAAGGGAGGAAGCUUAGAUAAGAGAAUACGCUCUCGCAUCGCUUUUUUUAGAAAGCUCUAC